RNAcentral lists this ribosomal RNA (497 nucleotides) under uncultured bacterium. RNAcentral describes it as "partial 16S ribosomal RNA". It matches the Rfam family "Bacterial small subunit ribosomal RNA", at positions 27 to 507 of the family's 1533-position model. The record is from RNAcentral.
GGGGGGGGGGGGGGGGGGGGGGCGGGCGGGCGGGGGGCGGGGGGGGGUGAGGAGGUUGCGCGUCGGCCGUUGGCGGGGGACGGGUUGGUAACACGGGGAUAACCUACCUAUAAGACUUGGAGAACUUCAGGAAACCGCAGCUAGUACCGCCUAAGUGAUUGAACCGCAGGGUUCACUAGCGAAAUCCGUUUUUGCUGUCACUUAUCGACGUAUCCGCGCCACAUUAGCUAGUUGGUAAGGUAACUGCUUACCAAGGCAACGAUGCGUAGACUACCUGAGAGGGUGAUCGGCCACACUGGAACUGAGACACGGUCCAGACGCCUACGGGAGGCAGCAGUAGGGAAUCUUCCGCAAUGGGCGAAAGCCUGACGGGGCAACGCCGCGUGAGUGAUGAAGGUCUUCGGAUCGUAAAACUCUGUUAUUAGGGAAGAACAAAUGUGUAAGUAACUAUGCACGUCUUGACGGUACCUAAUCAGAAAGCCACGGCUAACUACGUG